CAAUAGCGUAUAUUAAAGUUGUUGCAGUUAAAAAGCUCGUAGUUGGAUUUCGGGAUGGCCCGGCCGGUCUGCCGCAAGGUAUGUUACUGGCCGAGCUGUUCUUCUUCGCAAAGACUGUGGGUGCUCUUAACUGAGUGUGCUCAGGAUCUGUGACGUUUACUUUGAAAAAAUUAGAGUGUUCAAAGCAAGCCAGCGCUUGAAUACAUAAGCAUGGAAUAAUGGAAUAGGACUUUGGUUCUAUUUUGUUGGUUUCUGGAACCUUAGUAAUGAUUAAGAGAGACAGUUGGGGGCAUUCGUAUUUCGUUGUCAGAGGUGAAAUUCUUGGAUUUACGAAAGACGAACUACUGCGAAAGCAUUUGCCAAGAAUGUUUUCAUUAA
Molecule: ribosomal RNA, 378 nt
Filed under: uncultured eukaryote
Lineage: Eukaryota
Description: partial 18S ribosomal RNA
Rfam family: Eukaryotic small subunit ribosomal RNA
Source: RNAcentral